UACGUAGGGUGCGAGCGUUAAUCGGAAUUACUGGGCGUAAAGCGUGCGCAGGCGGCUCGCUAAGCCAGAGGUGAAAUCCCCGGGCUCAACCUGGGAAUGGCCUUUGGGACUGGCGGGCUCGAGUGCGGCAGAGGGGGGUGGAAUUCCUGGUGUAGCAGUGAAAUGCGUAGAUAUCAGGAGGAACACCGAUGGCGAAGGCAGCCCCCUGGGCCAGCACUGACGCUCAUGCACGAAAGCGUGGGGAGCAAACAGG
Molecule: ribosomal RNA, 253 nt
Filed under: uncultured bacterium
Lineage: Bacteria
Description: partial 16S ribosomal RNA
Rfam family: Bacterial small subunit ribosomal RNA
Source: RNAcentral